Molecule: transfer RNA, 75 nt
Filed under: Gammaproteobacteria bacterium
Lineage: Bacteria; Pseudomonadati; Pseudomonadota; Gammaproteobacteria
Also listed under: 1 other name
Description: tRNA-Val
Rfam family: tRNA
About the family: Transfer RNA (tRNA) molecules are approximately 80 nucleotides in length. Their secondary structure includes four short double-helical elements and three loops (D, anti-codon, and T loops).
Source: RNAcentral
AGGCGCGUAGCUCAGUGGUAGAGCACUACCUUGACAUGGUAGGGGUCGGCAGUUCAAUCCUGCCCGCGCCUACCA